This 660-nucleotide ribosomal RNA is filed under the name Bixa orellana (lipstick tree). RNAcentral describes it as "eukaryotic LSU rRNA". The stretch from base 264 to 416 matches the Rfam family "5.8S ribosomal RNA". The record is from RNAcentral. Lineage: Eukaryota; Viridiplantae; Streptophyta; Magnoliopsida; Malvales; Bixaceae.
GGAGAGAUCAUUGCCAAAACCUACAAAGCAGACUGUGAAUAGGUGCUCAAAAACACAUAGAGGGUGCGUGCGGGGCGAGAGAUGCCUGCUAUGGCUCAUCCUAACUAAGCCUGCACACACAUGCGCACACGCCCCUCCUGCGGGCUAACUAACCCAUACCAAGGAAGCGCCCAGCGCAAAUGCAUCUCUGCAUGCUUUCUUUCCUUGCCCUACCUCUUAUUGGGUGAGUGAGUGGGAGGGAGAGGGAUCUCUAAUGUUAAAAUGACUCUCGACAAUAGAUAUCUCGACUAUUGCAUUGAAUAAUGAAGCAAAAUGUGAUACUUGGUGUGCAUUGCAGAAUCCCGUGAACCAUUGAGUCUUUGAACGCAAGUUGUACCCAAAGCCAUUAGGUCGAGGGCACGUCUGCUUAGGCAUCACGCAUUGUGUUGUCGAUGGAGAUUGGCCUUCUGUGUGCCCUGAUGCAUGGCUAGCUUAAAGUGAUCCCCAAACAAUGGACGUUGCCACCAGUGGUGGUUGAACCAUUGACUUAACUGGCAUGCUGUCGUUCGACCAUGGCAUUAUCUACGGGGAGCCUCACAAGACCUAAAUGGCAUGAACGAGCGCCUCUGACCAUGACCCCAGGUCAGGCGGCACCACCCAUUGAUUUUAAGCAUAUCAAUA